This 75-nucleotide transfer RNA is filed under the name Alphaproteobacteria bacterium. Its description in RNAcentral is "tRNA-Met". It matches the Rfam family "tRNA". Rfam says of the family: Transfer RNA (tRNA) molecules are approximately 80 nucleotides in length. Their secondary structure includes four short double-helical elements and three loops (D, anti-codon, and T loops). The record is from RNAcentral. Lineage: Bacteria; Pseudomonadati; Pseudomonadota; Alphaproteobacteria.
GGCUGAGUAGCUCAGUGGUAGAGCAGGGGAAUCAUAAUCCCUUGGUCGGGGGUUCAAAUCCCUCCUCAGCCACCA